RNAcentral lists this ribosomal RNA (462 nucleotides) under uncultured Desulfobulbus sp. RNAcentral's name for it is "bacterial SSU rRNA". It matches the Rfam family "Bacterial small subunit ribosomal RNA", at positions 927 to 1382 of the family's 1533-position model. The record is from RNAcentral. Lineage: Bacteria; Pseudomonadati; Thermodesulfobacteriota; Desulfobulbia; Desulfobulbales; Desulfobulbaceae.
AAGCGGUGGAGGUAUGUGGUUUAAUUUCGAUGCAACGCGAAGAACCUUACCUGGUCUUGACAUCCCGGAGACCCUUAGGAAACUAGGGGUGCUUCCAUCUGGAAGAAUCUGGAGACAGGUGCUGCAUGGCUGUCGUCAGCUCGUGUCGUGAGAUGUUGGGUUAAGUCCCGCAACGAGCGCAACCCUUGCCUUUAGUUGCCAGCAGUUCGGCUGGGCACUCUAAAGGGACUGCCGGUGUUAAACCGGAGGAAGGUGGGGAUGACGUCAAGUCCUCAUGGCCUUUAUGACCAGGGCUACACACGUACUACAAUGGCCGAUACAAAGGGCAGCGACACUGCGAGGUGAAGCCAAUCCCGUAAAAUCGGUCUCAGUCCGGAUUGGAGUCUGCAACUCGACUCCAUGAAGUUGGAAUCGCUAGUAAUCGUGGAUCAGCAUGCCACGGUGAAUACGUUCCCGGGCCUU